This 89-nucleotide ribosomal RNA is filed under the name Symbiodinium sp. Amami3a. Its description in RNAcentral is "5.8S ribosomal RNA". It matches the Rfam family "5.8S ribosomal RNA", at positions 5 to 93 of the family's 154-position model. Rfam says of the family: 5.8S ribosomal RNA (5.8S rRNA) is a component of the large subunit of the eukaryotic ribosome. It is transcribed by RNA polymerase I as part of the 45S precursor that also contains 18S and 28S rRNA. Functionally, it is thought that 5.8S rRNA may be involved in ribosome translocation. Lineage: Eukaryota; Dinophyceae; Suessiales; Symbiodiniaceae. The record is from RNAcentral.
UUCAGCGAUGGAUAUCUUGGCUCGGGCACCUGUGAAGGGCGCAGCGAAGCGCGAUAGUCUUUGUGAAUUGCAGAUUUCCUGAGAGUAUG